Rhamnusium bicolor is the source of this 77-nucleotide non-coding RNA. Lineage: Eukaryota; Metazoa; Arthropoda; Insecta; Coleoptera; Cerambycidae. The record is from the annotation of a GenBank genome assembly.
GGCUUCGUGGUUCCAGUAGUAAAGAACACUUGCCUAUCAUUCCGGAGUCCCGGGUUCGAUCCCCAGCCAAGGAGCCG